GAUGAACGCUGGCGGCGUGCUUAACACAUGCAAGUCGAACGAGAAGUGAAGACGGAAACCUUCGGGCGGAAGGCUUUAUUUCGAGUGGCGGACGGGAGAGUAACGCGUGGGUAACCUGCCUCAUACAGGGGGAUAACAGUUGGAAACGACUGUUAAUACCGCAUAAGGCCACAGCACCGCAUGGUGCGGGGGUAAAAACUCCGGUUGUAUGAGAUGGACCCGCGUUCGAUUGGCCAGUUGGCGGGGUAACGGCCCACCAAAGCGACGAUCGAUAGCCGAUCUGAGAGGAUGACCGGCCACAUUGGGACUGAGCCACGGCCCAAACUCCUACGGGAGGCAGCAGUGGGGAAUAUUGCACAAUGGGGGAAACCCUGAUGCAGCGACGCCGCGUGAGUGAAGAAGUAUUUCGGUAUGUAAAGCUCUAUCAGCAGGGAAGAAAAUGACGGUACCUGAGUAAGAAGCCCCGGCUAACUACGUG
This 478-nucleotide ribosomal RNA is filed under the name uncultured bacterium. RNAcentral describes it as "partial 16S ribosomal RNA". It matches the Rfam family "Bacterial small subunit ribosomal RNA", at positions 28 to 507 of the family's 1533-position model. The record is from RNAcentral.